This 73-nucleotide transfer RNA is filed under the name Ictidomys tridecemlineatus (thirteen-lined ground squirrel). RNAcentral describes it as "Spermophilus tridecemlineatus (thirteen-lined ground squirrel) tRNA". It matches the Rfam family "tRNA". Rfam says of the family: Transfer RNA (tRNA) molecules are approximately 80 nucleotides in length. Their secondary structure includes four short double-helical elements and three loops (D, anti-codon, and T loops). Further hydrogen bonds mediate the characteristic L-shaped molecular structure. tRNAs have two regions of fundamental functional importance: the anti-codon, which is responsible for specific mRNA codon recognition, and the 3' end, to which the tRNAs corresponding amino acid is attached (by aminoacyl-tRNA synthetases). tRNAs cope with the degeneracy of the genetic code in two manners: having more than one tRNA (with a specific anti-codon) for a particular amino acid; and 'wobble' base-pairing, i.e. permitting non-standard base-pairing at the 3rd anti-codon position. The record is from Rfam by way of RNAcentral. Lineage: Eukaryota; Metazoa; Chordata; Mammalia; Rodentia; Sciuridae.
GGAGAAAUAGCUCAGUUGGUUGAGUGCUUGCCUACCAUGCAUAAAGCCCUAGGUUCAAUCCCCAGUACCACCA